UUAUAAGAGAACUCUUAAGAU
RNAcentral lists this non-coding RNA (21 nucleotides) under Caenorhabditis elegans. Lineage: Eukaryota; Metazoa; Nematoda; Chromadorea; Rhabditida; Rhabditidae. The record is from RNAcentral.